This is a long non-coding RNA of Etheostoma cragini (Arkansas darter), 936 nucleotides long. RefSeq lists it as uncharacterized. The transcript is spliced from 5 exons. The record is from RefSeq and is a predicted model, not a curated record. Lineage: Eukaryota; Metazoa; Chordata; Actinopteri; Perciformes; Percidae.
UGUUCCUCUAUCAUGUAAUAAUGAACCUUAAAGCUCUUAUUGUGAAAGUCUGCUUCCUGCCAGGUGGGGCUGUGACUCAUCAGGAAAUAACUCACCUGAGUUGUUGAAGAAACAGUCCAGUGAGGCUGAGACGCAGUUCUUUCUCUCGGAGGGGAGCUCCAGAUGAAGGGUUAGGAGACCCUUUUUCUCUCCAGAGGCUGAGACUCAGUUCUUUCUCUCGACGUGGAUCUCCAGCUGAAGGUCUCUGAACUCGUCUGUCUGGAACGUUCUGCUCGUCAACUCAAGCUGUGGUUCUUUAGUUUAGAGAGGAUCACCUCACUUCUAAAGCAGGGACAAAAGAUGGAGACGCCUAAAGAAUCAGAAUCAGAAGUCGUCUUAGGAAUCUUAGAAGACUUGGGAGCUGAGGACUAUGAAGAGUUUAAGUGGUACCUGCAGAGAGCCCCCAACGGCUUCCCAGCAAUCAAAAAGUGGAAAUUAGAGAAAGCCAACAGGCAUCAAACAGUGGAUUUGAUGCUCCACACCUACAGUAAAAACAUUAUUGAUGUGAUCAUAAUAGUUUUAGUGAAGAUGGUUCGAAAUGAUCUGGUGGAUAUCAUUUAUGACCACUGGCCUGAAAAGGGUAUUUUUAAACCUAUCGCACAUAAAAACAAGCAUUUCAUAAAAAAAACAAGUGCCAGGAAUAAGAAAACAUACAGUAAUUAUAGGAAUAAACCCACACAUAUAAGGAAAAGGAAAAGUAACCACUAUGCAUACCCCAGACAGGCAUCAGAUGGUGACUCCAAGAAGUCUUGUAAAGUGCAGAAUCAAGUACUCAACCAGAGCCAAAACAGCACCGUGCUCCCAAAUACUGUGUGCAAAUACUCACACCUCAGUAAUAAAGUCACCCAGAUUGAUUUAUUAUUUACCAACCGACCUGAGAGAAUAUUUAUAUUAAAU